GCGGAUUUAGCUCAGUUGGGAGAGCGCCAGACUGAAGAAUACACUUUAGUCAAGUAAUCUGGAGGUCCUGUGUUCGAUCCACAGAAUUCGCA
Molecule: transfer RNA, 92 nt
Filed under: Saccharomyces pastorianus
Lineage: Eukaryota; Fungi; Ascomycota; Saccharomycetes; Saccharomycetales; Saccharomycetaceae
Description: tRNA-Phe
Rfam family: tRNA
About the family: Transfer RNA (tRNA) molecules are approximately 80 nucleotides in length. Their secondary structure includes four short double-helical elements and three loops (D, anti-codon, and T loops). Further hydrogen bonds mediate the characteristic L-shaped molecular structure. tRNAs have two regions of fundamental functional importance: the anti-codon, which is responsible for specific mRNA codon recognition, and the 3' end, to which the tRNAs corresponding amino acid is attached (by aminoacyl-tRNA synthetases). tRNAs cope with the degeneracy of the genetic code in two manners: having more than one tRNA (with a specific anti-codon) for a particular amino acid; and 'wobble' base-pairing, i.e. permitting non-standard base-pairing at the 3rd anti-codon position.
Source: RNAcentral